UACGAAGGGUGCAAGCGUUGCUCGGAAUUAUUGGGCGUAAAGGGUGAGUAGGUGGUCUGAUUUGUCUGGGGUGAAAGCCUUAAGCUUAACUUAAGAAGUGCCUUAGAAACGGUCGGACUAGAGUGCUGGAGAGGAUCGCAGAAUUCCUGGUGUAGCGGUGAAAUGCGUAGAGAUCAGGAGGAAUACCAGUGGCGAAAGCGGCGAUCUGGACAGUAACUGACACUCAAUCACGAAAGCGUGGGGAGCAAACAGG
RNAcentral lists this ribosomal RNA (253 nucleotides) under uncultured bacterium. RNAcentral's name for it is "partial 16S ribosomal RNA". It matches the Rfam family "Bacterial small subunit ribosomal RNA", at positions 524 to 776 of the family's 1533-position model. The record is from RNAcentral.